This 468-nucleotide ribosomal RNA is filed under the name uncultured bacterium. Its description in RNAcentral is "partial 16S ribosomal RNA". It matches the Rfam family "Bacterial small subunit ribosomal RNA", at positions 28 to 507 of the family's 1533-position model. The record is from RNAcentral.
GACGAACGCUGGCGGCGUGCUUAACACAUGCAAGUCGAACGGAAAGGCCCUGCUUUUGUGGGGUGCUCGAGUGGCGAACGGGUGAGUAACACGUGAGUAACCUGCCCUUGACUUUGGGAUAACUUCAGGAAACUGGGGCUAAUACCGGAUAGGAGCUCCUGCUGCAUGGUGGGGGUUGGAAAGUUUCGGCGGUUGGGGAUGGACUCGCGGCUGAUCAGCUUGUUGGUGGGGUAGUGGCUUACCAAGGCUUUGACGGGUAGCCGGCCUGAGAGGGUGACCGGGGAGGAGGGGACUGCGGUGGGGGGCAGCAGGGGGGGGGAGGGAACAGUGGGCGGAAGGCGGAUGCGGCGGGGGGGCGGGAGGGAUGGAGGCCUGCGGGUGGUGAAGGUCUUUGGGUGGUGAAGAAGGUCCUGCUGUGGGGGGGGGGGUGGGCGGUAGCCGGGUAAUGAAGCGCCGGCUAACUACGUG